Sapajus apella (tufted capuchin) is the source of this 834-nucleotide long non-coding RNA. RefSeq lists it as uncharacterized. Lineage: Eukaryota; Metazoa; Chordata; Mammalia; Primates; Cebidae. The record is from RefSeq and is a predicted model, not a curated record. The transcript is spliced from 2 exons.
AUUUUUGUAUUUUUAGUAGAGACAGGUUUUCACCAUGUUGAUCAGGCUGGUCUCCAAUUCCUGACUUUGUGAUCUACCAAAGGUGCUGGGAUUACAGGCAUAAGCCUCUGUGCCAUAUCAUUUCUAAAGAACAUAUGGCUGGACCAAAAAUGAAUUCAGUCUGUUGGAACUGGUCUUUACACUUGGUUUGCUGAGUAAUGUUUAUUGAAAUUACUGACAUACUUGGAUGUGCUGUCACAUCCCGGUGCUUGCAGUUCCUGGCAGUGUGACUUUGGCCAGUCAGUUAUAUUUGCCAUGUCACUUCCUCCUCUAUAAAAUGGGGAUGGUUGUGUGAGGAUUAAGUGAGAUGUAUAUAAAUUAUUUGGUAGACUGACCAGCAAACAUAGACUCUCAGUUGAUUCCCUUUUUUCUCCCUGUUCUCCUCCCCUUUUAAACAGAUAUGGACAGACACGUCUCACAACCAAGUGAAGAUGCUCAGAGCAUCAAGGGGAUGGAGCUUCAGUUCUUGUGACAGAGACUGAGCAAGUGGCAGGCAGAGAGGUGCUGAUGAUUGCUGCAAGUCACAGCCAGUGUCCAGGGCCAGGCUCUAGGUCUGGCACUACACAAGGGUUCAAGCUGCUGGGGAGACAUCCAUAAAAACAUAUGUAAGGACAAUGUGGGGCACAGCAUGGUGAGUACCUCCUGGAAGGCACCAGUCACGUUCAUGCAAGAGAUAUCAGUCAAGGCCUGUCAAGUCUUGUGUGUUGUAGAUUCUGAGAGUAAGACAUGGUCCCUGCUCUCAGGAGCUCAUAGUAUCCUUGGAAAAAACAUACCAUAAGCUCUACAAGGAGCAAA